This 484-nucleotide ribosomal RNA is filed under the name uncultured bacterium. Its description in RNAcentral is "partial 16S ribosomal RNA". It matches the Rfam family "Bacterial small subunit ribosomal RNA", at positions 29 to 507 of the family's 1533-position model. The record is from RNAcentral.
AUUGAACGCUGGCGGCAUGCUUUACACAUGCAAGUCGAACGGCAGCGCGGGCUUCGGCCUGGCGGCGAGUGGCGAACGGGUGAGUAAUACAUCGGAACGCGCCCAGUAGUGGGGGGUAGCUCGGCGAAAGCCGGAUUAAUACCGCAUACGACCUGAGGGUGAAAGCGGGGGAUCUUCGGACCUCGCGCUAUUGGAGCGGCCGAUGGCAGAUUAGCUAGUUGGUGGGGUAAAGGCCUACCAAGGCGACGAUCUGUAGCUGGUCUGAGAGGACGACCAGCCACACUGGGACUGAGACACGGCCCAGACUCCUACGGGAGGCAGCAGUGGGGAAUUUUGGACAAUGGGCGAAAGCCUGAUCCAGCAAUGCCGCGUGUGUGAUGAAGGCCUUCGGGUUGUAAAGCACUUUUGGCGGGAACGAAAAGGACUGUGCCAAUACCACGGUUCGAUGACGGUACCCGCAGAAUAAGCACCGGCUAACUACGUG